This 938-nucleotide ribosomal RNA is filed under the name Ferroplasma acidarmanus. RNAcentral describes it as "bacterial SSU rRNA". It matches the Rfam family "Archaeal small subunit ribosomal RNA", at positions 32 to 975 of the family's 1478-position model. Lineage: Archaea; Methanobacteriati; Thermoplasmatota; Thermoplasmata; Thermoplasmatales; Ferroplasmaceae. The record is from RNAcentral.
AAAAGUAACCGACUAAGCCAUGCGAGUCAAGGUAUCGUAAGAUGCCGGCAAACUGCUCAGUAACACGUGGAUAAUCUAACCUUGAGUAAGGGAUAACUUCGGGAAACUGAAGGUAAUACCUUAUAAUUGCUUAAAACUGGAAUGUUUUUGCAAUAAAAGUUACGACGCUCAAGGAUGAGUCUGCGACCUAUCAGGUAGUAGGUGGUGUAAUGGACCACCUAGCCUCAGACGGGUACGGGCCCUGGGAGGGGUAGCCCGGAGAUGGACUCUGAGACAUAAGUCCAGGCCCUACGGGGCGCAGCAGGCGCGAACACUGUGCAAUGCGCGAAAGCGCGACACGGGGAGCUUGAGUGUCUUGGCAUAGCCAAGACUUUUCUCAUUCCUAAAAAGCAUGAGGAAUAAGUGCUGGGUAAGACGGGUGCCAGCCGCCGCGGUAACACCCGCAGCACGAGUAGUGGUCACUUUUAUUGAGCCUAAAGCGUUCGUAGCCGGUUUUGUAAAUCUUCAGAUAAAGCCUGAAGCUUAACUCCAGAAAGUCUGAAGAGACUGCAAGACUUGAGAUCGGGUGAGGUUAAACGUACUUUCAGGGUAGGGGUAAAAUCCUGUAAUCCCGGAAGGACGACCAGUGGCGAAAGCGUUUAACUAGAACGAAUCUGACGGUAAGGAACGAAGGCUAGGGUAGCAAACCGGAUUAGAUACCCGGGUAGUCCUAGCUGUAAACAUUGCCCAUUUGAUGUUGCUUUUCCGUUGAGGGAAGGCAGUGUCGGAGCGAAGGUGUUAAAUGGGCCGCUUGGGAAGUAUGGUCGCAAGACUGAAACUUAAAGGAAUUGGCGGGGGAGCACCGCAACGGGAGGAAUGUGCGGUUUAAUUGGAUUCAACGCCGGAAAACUCACCGGGAACGACCUGUGCAUGAGAGUCAACCUGACGAGCUUACUCGA